GGCUCAGAUGGUAAAGCGUUUGCCUGUGAUGCAGGAGACCCAGGUUCGAUCCCUGG
This 56-nucleotide transfer RNA is filed under the name Ovis aries (sheep). It matches the Rfam family "tRNA", at positions 9 to 63 of the family's 71-position model. Rfam says of the family: Transfer RNA (tRNA) molecules are approximately 80 nucleotides in length. Lineage: Eukaryota; Metazoa; Chordata; Mammalia; Artiodactyla; Bovidae. The record is from Rfam by way of RNAcentral.